AUACAUACUGGAAUUUUUCACAGAACAAUUCAACUAUAUAGUUUAACAAUCUUACUAUGAUCUAAUGCAUGAUCCUGGAAGAUACAGAAAGGUCAAAGGCGUGGUCCUGAAUCAGUUCAAAUCUGUGUAAGGUUUCACAAUAAUUAAAGCAAUGGCAAACAAUUCUAAGAGAUCAUGCAAAUGCAGACAUUGCAAAAAAGAAAGGCCACUUUCAAGGUAACCUGGACAAUGUAAUUAUCUAUAUACCAUGAGUAACCAGAAGAUACCAUAUCAUUUGAAGCAUUUUGAACAUUCAAGCUGGGUCUUGGGGGAUUAUGGUGAAGGAGUAAAGAAGCUACGGCCAACAACAAGCAGCUUUCCACUUAUGCACACCCCACAUUUUAAUCAUUUAAUGUCUAAACCACCAAUUUAGAAAGAAAAGGAAAAAUAUAAAUGGCCACAUCAGAGUCUAAACCACCAUUUCAGUCUCUAAAUUAUAAUAAAAUGGAAGUCGCGGAAUUAUAGCUAUCAAUUCAAAUCAACCACAAACACAAGAGAUUGAUAGAAGGAAGAAGUAUUAUAGAUUUAGGACAAUUCUACAUAUAUUAGAUAUUUCGUCACAUGUAUAAGAG
Molecule: long non-coding RNA, 611 nt
Filed under: Solanum tuberosum (potato)
Lineage: Eukaryota; Viridiplantae; Streptophyta; Magnoliopsida; Solanales; Solanaceae
Description: long non-coding RNA (STUB_LNC005266)
Source: RNAcentral